GUAUUUCUGAUGACAAUGUAUUGGAGGAAAGCCGCAGACAGAAUGCUCUCUCUAGCACCACCCCACACAACCGUUACCUCCGAAAUGUGGCCCAGAACACUUCAGAGGAGGAGAAAGAGGAGGACAGAGGCCUGCAGAAUCUGGGACUUGCCAAAGGUUUUUUUGACACCAGGAGAAAGAAACUAUUGCUGAAGGAGUCCGACACCAAAAAGAAGCGGAUGCCAAGACUGGCUCCUCGGAUUGGGGUGUGGUUUUAAUAAUUCUUACAAUAUACAAUAUAUUUUGUGUGUUGUCUUUACUGUUCACUUUCUAAAAAAAAAAAUAGGGGAUAUACGUAAAGACUGUCAUGGCUAUUAAGUACUUUCACACAAAUUAUUCAAAUUAUUCUUUUUAAAAAGCCCACAUAGAAAGCUUCUUUCUAAAUGUUCUGCUUUGACAUGUUGCAUUCAUAGUGUUGUCAAAGCCCGUAUAAAUUGUAAUCACAUCUGCUUAGUGUAAUUAUUGUAACCUUUUCUAUUGUGUUUUUUGGCAACGCCCCGAAUUUGGAACAAGCCAAGUUGCAUUUCACCAACUCAUGAUUUUCCCAAUGUUUCAUUAUCCUGAUGAUUUGUAAAAAGCAAUCACACUCACUUUUGUACUUACUUUAUUCAUUGCUUUUGAGCAUAUUGUAGGGCAUCCCCCUCCAUCGCUGUGGAGUUGAAAACAGUCCGUUCAUGAAGGGGCCUAAACACAUCACUCAUUAAAUAAUCAAACCCAACUUUUUAAACAGAUCUCUUAAUUAUUCUCUAAAGGUAUGUUUAUGGUACUUGUCUGUUUUCAGUAGUUUGAUAUAUUUUUGAUGAAGAAAAUAUUUCAUUAUAAAUAUAAAAGUGAGGCACUUUAAAGUUUGUGUGUUUGCUGGUGAAUUAUGCAUUUUGUAUUAAAUGAUUCAGUACAAACUCAGGAUUGACGUGCAAAAGAUGCUUGAAAAAGUAAUCAUGGAAGUGAAAUAAAGAGGCAGGAUGAUGAAAGAAGGUAGAACAGGUCGGACUAGAGGUUGGAAAGUGAGCAGGACAAGGGAGAAAAAUAGGGGGAAAGGAUUUUUAAAUUAUUCAUUUACUAAUGUGAGAGAACACGUUUUCACCAGUCUGCCUUUUGAUCCAGUCUUAAGCACAGUAUUAAUAUUUCAGAAAAUACUCCAGAUGUGGUAUGUUCUACCAGAACUGGGAGCAUGGCUUUAAUUUUACUCUGACUACUGCAUAUGUUUCAUUACGAUUUUGAAACAGAAACCCAAAUCUGUGCAAAAGCAUAGUUGCCAAAUACAAAAAGAAUGAAAGAGAUUAUAGACACAUUUUUAGUAAUACACCGAAAAGCUUCUACAGUACUCUGAUGUGUUUUAGUACAUUUUUGCUGAUGCCUAAUUAAUAUGUAUUAUUUGUUGAUACAUAUUUAUGCUGUUAAUUGGUAUUGGUGUGAACUGAGGCACUUUGUUUUAAUGCUGUUUCAUUUUCUGCUGUACAGAAAUAACCAAUAAAUUGUGUUCCCUUUCGUAGUCA
Molecule: non-coding RNA, 1535 nt
Organism: Pimephales promelas (fathead minnow)
Lineage: Eukaryota; Metazoa; Chordata; Actinopteri; Cypriniformes; Leuciscidae
Source: RefSeq, a predicted model, not a curated record